This is a long non-coding RNA of Leopardus geoffroyi (Geoffroy's cat), 1261 nucleotides long. RefSeq lists it as uncharacterized. The transcript is spliced from 5 exons. The record is from RefSeq and is a predicted model, not a curated record. NCBI's taxonomy places the organism in Eukaryota, Metazoa, Chordata, Mammalia, Carnivora, Felidae.
GGAGCUCAAAGAAGUGGGUUAUUCUCGGUGUCGGUAGAUGACGGUAGCCACAGAGAGUCCGUCUGCGUCGCCAGAAGGAUCGGCCUUGAGCCGGAGGCCCCCGUUGGGGUGGCGGUACGGUGACGUGGCCCCGUUGCCGUGUCCGUGCACAGGGUCCCAGGACGGAACACAGAACUUCGGGCGGACGUUCCUGCUGUGGAGGUGCGGGCUCAGCCUCCGGACGGAGCAGAAGCCCGGACCCGCCGCCCUGCGGAUGACAGCCGGACCCUGCAGGGGGAGGGGGGACACCUGCGGGGUGCCACAGCCCGCAGGGGCGUACGUCCCCCCGGCUCCGCCAGCGCUGGGGGGGGGGACCGGCCGGCAUGUGUCGGGCCAGCGCCUCCGCCUCGCCGAGAGCAGAUCGGCCUGGCAGGUGCAGUGGCUGUUGGCCCCGCAUAUGGGUCCCCAAACAUUAAAAUCGACGGGCGUAAGCAGCGAAGGGCCUUCUGGCUGAACCGAGGAGGGGCAUGAGCCAGCGACGCGCGGGGGCAGAGCCGGCCCGAGACGCCAGCGUGCACACUGAGGGAAGGCCGCUCUUAACACACUUCUCUGCGCGACCUUGCACGUCACCGCACCCCACCUGACGGCUCCCGGAGCACGAGUCCGCGUGAGCUCGGCCCCGCGCUGCUGCAGCGCGGGGCUGUGUGUGCUGCUCACGUCACGGCCACAGUGACAGGGCUGGGGGAUUGGGUAACCUGCGUGUGAAGGUGACCACCGGGAUCCUUCGGGGACCUUGGCAAAGGGCUGUCCCCAGAGGGCAAGGCAAAGCAAACGGUUCCGUGAGUCUCCAACUAUUCCGUCACCUCUCGGCGUGUGAACCAGCCUUCGGGGUGUCCACGGUCCUCUGAAAUGCCACUGCGCAUCUCUGCAAGGCCGAGCGCGGCAAGGAAAAGGCUGUUGCAAGAAAGAGCCACGUGUGAAGUCUCGCUUUCAAAGCAGCUCACCUCCUAGCCACCAUUGUGGCUCGCCAUCCCGAGCGGCCGGUUCCUGGUGCAACACGGCAGGCAGUGUGGCGAUUCUCAAAGUGGGGUCCCGGACACCACUUUGGCGCUAAUCCCAAGACCCUGUGCUUCCACUCGUGCUACCGUGAACGCACGGCGGAGUCACGGGGCUGCGGACGCAUGAUCACACAAGAACCCGGCAGCACGGAGCCCACCCCUCAUCUCUGGUUUGUUGGUUUUAGCAAAUACCGUUAUUUUUCAUUAAAAACAUGUUAACGCGA